AUCCGAUUCAGUGUCGCCGCGACCCCGUUA
Molecule: small RNA, 30 nt
Filed under: Bombyx mori (domestic silkworm)
Lineage: Eukaryota; Metazoa; Arthropoda; Insecta; Lepidoptera; Bombycidae
Description: ovarian small RNA-12461
Source: RNAcentral